RNAcentral lists this ribosomal RNA (254 nucleotides) under uncultured bacterium. Its description in RNAcentral is "partial 16S ribosomal RNA". It matches the Rfam family "Bacterial small subunit ribosomal RNA", at positions 524 to 776 of the family's 1533-position model. The record is from RNAcentral.
GACGAACCGUGCGAACGUUGUUCGGAAUCACUGGGCUUAAAGGGCGCGUAGGCGGCCACCGCAAGUCGACUGUGAAAUCUCUGGGCUUAACCCAGAACGGUCAGCCGAUACUGCGGGGCUAGAGUGCAGAAGGGGCAACUGGAAUUCUCGGUGUAGCGGUGAAAUGCGUAGAUAUCGAGAGGAACACCUGCGGCGAAGGCGGGUUGCUGGGCUGACACUGACGCUGAGGCGCGAAAGCUAGGGGAGCGAACGGG